This 373-nucleotide ribosomal RNA is filed under the name uncultured organism. RNAcentral's name for it is "partial 16S ribosomal RNA". It matches the Rfam family "Bacterial small subunit ribosomal RNA", at positions 527 to 896 of the family's 1533-position model. The record is from RNAcentral.
GUAGGUGGCAAGCGUUGUCCGGAAUUAUUGGGCGUAAAGCGCGCGCAGGCGGUUCUUUAAGGGUCUGAUGUGAAAGCCCACGGCUCAACCGUGGAGGUCAUUGGAAACUGGAGAACUUGAGUACAGAAGAGGAAAGCGGAAUUCCACGUGUAGCGGUGAAAUGCGUAGAGAUGUGGAGGAACACCAGUGGCGAAGGCGGCUUUCUGGUCUGUAACUGACGCUGAGGCGCGAAAGCGUGGGGAGCAAACAGGAUUAGAUACCCUGGUAGUCCACGCCGUAAACGAUGAGUGCUAAGUGUUAGGGGGUUUCCGCCCCUUAGUGCUGCAGCUAACGCAUUAAGCACUCCGCCUGGGGAGUACGGCCGCAAAGGCUG